GAUGAACGCUGGCGGCGUGCCUAAUACAUGCAAGUCGAGCGAACGGACGAGAUGCUUGUUUCACUGAUGUUAGCGGCGGACGGGUGAGUAACACGUGGAUAACCUACCUAUAAGACUGGGAUAACUUCUGGAAACCGGUGCUAAUACCGGAUAAUAUUUUUAACCACAUGGUUUAAGUGUGAAAGAUGCUCUUGCUGUCCCCUAUAGAUGUAUCCGCGCUGCAUUAGCUAGUUGUUAAGGUAAGGGCUUACCAAGGCAACGAUGCUUAGCCGACCUGAGAGGGUGAUGGCCAACACUGGAACUGGGACCGGGUCAAGACUCCUCGGGAAGGAAGAAGAAGGGAACUUUGGGAAAUGAGGAAAGGCUGACCGGGGCAACGCGGCGUAAGUGAGGAGGGUCUUGGGACCGAAAAACCUUGUGAUAGGGGAGGACGAUAGGUGGAGGGAAAAGCGCAUCUAGUGACGGUACCUACUCAGAAAGCCACGGCUAACUACGUG
RNAcentral lists this ribosomal RNA (497 nucleotides) under uncultured bacterium. RNAcentral's name for it is "partial 16S ribosomal RNA". It matches the Rfam family "Bacterial small subunit ribosomal RNA", at positions 28 to 507 of the family's 1533-position model. The record is from RNAcentral.